RNAcentral lists this ribosomal RNA (429 nucleotides) under Actinomycetes bacterium. RNAcentral's name for it is "Actinobacteria bacterium partial 16S ribosomal RNA". It matches the Rfam family "Bacterial small subunit ribosomal RNA", at positions 355 to 776 of the family's 1533-position model. Lineage: Bacteria; Bacillati; Actinomycetota; Actinomycetes. The record is from RNAcentral.
UAGGGAAUCUUCCGCAAUGGGCGAAAGCUUGCCGGAGCAACGCCGCGUGAGUGAUGAAGGUCUUCGGAUCGUAAAACUCUGUUAUUAGGGAAGAACAAAUGUGUAAGUAACUAUGCACGUCUUGACGGUACCUAAUCAGAAAGCCACGGCUAACUACGUGCCAGCAGCCGCGGUAAUACGUAGGUGGCAAGCGUUAUCCGGAAUUAUUGGGCGUAAAGCGCGCGUAGGCGGUUUUUUAAGUCUGAUGUGAAAGCCCACGGCUCAACCGUGGAGGGUCAUUGGAAACUGGAAAACUUGAGUGCAGAAGAGGAAAGUGGAAUUCCAUGUGUAGCGGUGAAAUGCGCAGAGAUAUGGAGGAACACCAGGGGCGAAGGCGACUUUCUGGUCUGUAACUGACGCUGAUGUGCGAAAGCGUGGGGAUCAAACAGG